AGGAAGUCUCUGAAUCCCGAACUAUGAAUUCCAACAUAACCCUUCUUUCCAGCUUCACCGUUGACUUUAGCUCCAACGGAAUCGGGAGCCUUCUCUUCCUCUUCCUCGUAGUCGAGGAGCUCUUCCUCGUAUUCGUUGUCCCUUGUUUCUCCCAUUUCUGCUAGCCUGCUAAGAACUGAACUUCAGAGUUAGGGUUGCGAUUACACAAAGUCUGCAAAGGAAAACUAAGUUAGCUGGAGAGAAAUUGUUAAGACCUGGGUUUCCAAAGAUCGAAGAGUGGGA
RNAcentral lists this unclassified non-coding RNA (282 nucleotides) under Hevea brasiliensis (rubber tree). The record is from RNAcentral. Lineage: Eukaryota; Viridiplantae; Streptophyta; Magnoliopsida; Malpighiales; Euphorbiaceae.